Molecule: ribosomal RNA, 785 nt
Filed under: uncultured bacterium
Lineage: Bacteria
Description: bacterial SSU rRNA
Rfam family: Bacterial small subunit ribosomal RNA
Source: RNAcentral
AGAGUUUGAUCCUGGCUCAGGAUGAACGCUAGCGACAGGCCUAACACAUGCAAGUCGAGGGGUAUAGUAGCAAUACUAGAGACCGGCGCACGGGUGCGUAACGCGUAUGUAACCUGCCUCACACUGGGGGAUAGCCUUCCGAAAGGGAGAUUAAUACCGCAUAAUAAUAUUGUUCUGCCUGGGAUGAUAUUUAAAGCUUCGGUGGUGUGAGAUGGACAUGCGUAUGAUUAGCUAGUUGGCGGGGUAACGGCCCACCAAGGCGACGAUCAUUAGGGGUUCUGAGAGGAAGAUCCCCCACACUGGUACUGAGACACGGACCAGACUCCUACGGGAGGCAGCAGUGAGGAAUAUUGGUCAAUGGGCGAAAGCCUGAACCAGCCAUGUCGCGUGCAGGAAGACGGCCCUAUGGGUUGUAAACUGCUUUUGUAUGGGAAGAAACGACGGUACGAGUACUGUUUUGCCGGUACCAUACGAAUAAGGAUCGGCUAACUCCGUGCCCGCAGCCGCGGUAAUACGGAGGAUCCAAGCGUUAUCCGGAUUUAUUGGGUUUAAAGGGUGCGUAGGCGGGAGAUUAAGUCAGUGGUGAAAGUUUGCGGCUCAACCGUAAAAUUGCCAUUGAUACUGGUUUUCUUGAGUACAGUUGAGGUAGGCGGAAUGUGGUGUGUAGCGGUGAAAUGCUUAGAUAUACCACAGAACACCGAUUGCGAAGGCAGCUUACUAAGUUGUGACUGACGCUGAAGCACGAAAGCAUGGGGAUCAAACAGGAUUAGAUACCCUGGUAGUCG